AAAUGGCCGGCAUACACCGGAGAAUCCUGAGAGGAAUAAGCUUCGAUUCAGAGGUGUGCCCAUUAGCCGUGUUGUGAAGAAGGGUAGAAAGCUUCCGGCUGAUUUUCUGUUUGAAUGGGCUUAUUGGGCCUAAAGGCUGGACCAAGCACCAAGGUUCUCCUACACAGAUGCUAACAAGAACAAAGGUAUCACCUGGUCCAAGACUACUCUGUUCGAAUACUUAGAAAAUCCCAAGAAAUACAUCCCUGUGAACAAAAAUGAUUUUAAGCUGGAUCUUCAACGAAAGUGCAGGAGCGCAGGUGACGACCUUUAUUAGCAUUACCUGGAGGAGUCUUACAAAGUGAUAAUGUCAAUCCAGGAAAUUAUAAACUGUACAGUCUUGUAUCAAUUUGCAACUAGUGUGUCCUCAAGGAUGAACUGUUAGAACACAUCUUAUCUCCAUCAUUUUACCACUCAAAGGAGGCUGUGCCCCAAUUUGUGGACUUUAGAGCAUUGGUUUUCAUUAGCUGUCAUACUUAAAUUUUAACUGAUGUCUUGAUUUUAACUUAUUGGCAAGUGCCAGAUAUAGAGGAAACGGGUAGCGAAUGUUUGUUGCAAAAAGAAACACUAUUAAACUGGAUCAGCGCUUU
This is a long non-coding RNA of Haliotis rubra (blacklip abalone), 629 nucleotides long. RefSeq lists it as uncharacterized. The record is from RefSeq and is a predicted model, not a curated record. Lineage: Eukaryota; Metazoa; Mollusca; Gastropoda; Lepetellida; Haliotidae. The transcript has 2 exons.